This 94-nucleotide transfer RNA is filed under the name Mycobacterium triplex. RNAcentral describes it as "tRNA-Val". Lineage: Bacteria; Bacillati; Actinomycetota; Actinomycetes; Mycobacteriales; Mycobacteriaceae. The record is from RNAcentral.
GGGAGUCAUCGCCGAAUCGGGGGCGGCGCACGUCGCCUACGUCGGCGUCGGCGGCGCGAUGCUGCCGGUGCUGAUCUUCGCGGCGGCCCGCGCC